Long non-coding RNA from Petromyzon marinus (sea lamprey), 8617 nucleotides. RefSeq lists it as uncharacterized. The record is from RefSeq and is a predicted model, not a curated record. Lineage: Eukaryota; Metazoa; Chordata; Hyperoartia; Petromyzontiformes; Petromyzontidae.
AGCCGGCCCCGUGAUGGCGAGCCUAAUUGAAAUAUUGUUCGGGUGUCGCGCAGAUUACAUUAAGUGGCAGCCUAAUAAUUUGACAGGGGAGUAAUAGAGAUGUCCGGCACCGCGCACCCCCCCCCCCCUUCUCUUCCUCCUCCCCAUGAAUGCAAGAAAUGAGGUGUGAUCGCUAACAGCUGCUUUUAUACCCCGACGGCCGUGCCGUCUGCCGCGAGGCGUCACGCGACGCGCCGUGCGAGAUGAUCCCAGCGCUCCUCCGAGAGCCCCCCCCCUCCAUCCACACACACCCCCACCCCCCGUUUUCACUGCGAAACCUUCAGCCGUUUCCCUUACGCGAGCAGAGAAACAUCAUGCUUUGUCACGGAAAGAAAUGUCACGUAAAUUGGAAUUGCGCGCAGCAUCUAAGGGACGCUGCCCUGGUCUACAGCCGGUCAGUGCAGCCACUGGACUUUGCGAUGUCCCAGAGGUCAGUCGCAGUUGAACCAGCGGUGCAAGAUUCGGAAACCCCCCAUACUGCGGCUGCGUAAAUGGGUAACGAACCACACUCGGUCGAUGGGCGGCAGGUCGCGUGUGGUGGGCAAAAGUGUCGGCACUUCCACCUCCACUUUUUUUUCAAGACGUCUGGCCAGCGUGCAAGGGCAGGCAAAAAAUACCCCCGGGUGCAAUGGCAGGAGCAAGUCACGUCGUGGUGAUGUGCAUCUUUACCUUUCACCGUCGACGGUGCCCUGGUGUGUGUAUGCAGAGCACAGCACGCAAAGAAGAAUCGAAUGAAGAAUGGGGGACGGUUCUUGUUUUCCCAUCGCGUGGGUUCCUGUCGGAGAAGCAGAGGUCUCUGCGGAUGACAGUGACACCUUGAAGCCCCGUGUCAACGCUAAGCGCACUCCAGGGCCAGCCUGGUGAACACUUCAUCACGGGCGACGGCGCGGCGGGGCAACGCGACCAAAACUUUGCUCGAUGGUCAAGAAAGCGACGAAACCUCCUCCGUACUUAUCCCACCCAACGAGUCGAGCGGUCAAACGCACUCAUUGGCAAUUAGUCAGCCUCACAAUCUCCUGCAUAGAGCAACCAUGAAAAGGGGGUCUGGGAGAUCCAUUAAAAGCGGCCAAAGAGCAGCUACAAUUUAUGGAGAAUAACAUUCCAUCCCUAUUGUGAGCGCGCCUGCGGCUGGGUAUGUACGUCAUUUUCGGGCUUCUGGGGAGCUGAAAGGGCCUCAAAGAUUGAAACUACACGUUAGCAUAAAAAUGCAGUCGAGUUUUAACGCGUUUCAAAAUCGUACAAAAGGACAGCGCUGGCCUUUUGUGGAAGAACCCUUCACAAAGAGGAGUAAGUUUGAGGAGUACGCAGAAGAGUUCAAAAUAACAAGAGUUAUAGCAGCAAUGGGCUUUGGCAAACAGGUAAAUGUUAAGUCUCUAUUUAAAUAACCCGUGUUGAUUCAAAGUCUGCUGAUGGGAGAAAAAAAAAUCACAGCAGGAUGUGUGGAUUGUACUUUUGAAAAGAAAUACCAAAUUGACGCCCUUACCCGGAUCAGAGUGGAUGAUAUCCAUUUUAAUUCAUAAAAAUGUAAGCCACUUAGCAUCACGCUGUGUGUAUUUUAAUAGGCUAAGUGCAUCGAUUUCCAUUGUCAUUUGUAAUCGGCAACGUGUUACGAUAUUGCACUGUUGCCGAGUUAAUACGCAGAAAUAGCAAAGUCAUUGCCAUCGUGCUGUGUUUGCAGUCCAGCCAUGCUUGGCCUGAAACGCUGAUUGAGCUAUAUUUUCGCAAUAAAAAAUGAGGUAUUCAAUUAUUUAAAUAUUGACUCUGUGUAAUGGCAUCUGACUGUGAGUAUUAAAAGAUGUCAGGAGGUUAACAGAGCACAUAAUAGGCACUGUAUGUAAAGCUGACUCGACGGUAGACCCAUUAAUAAAAUUAAUGACAGAACACGCUCACGUGCUGGUAAGAGCUGGAAUCUACAGCUCUUAUUAACCUGCUGCCACAACGGAGCACAGCUCACAGCUUCAGACAACAUUAGGCCAAGCUUUAUGUACAGCAUUUAAAGCGAAGGCAAAAUUAAACACAUCUAUAUGUCUGCUGUAAUGUGCGCGUGAGCAUCCCAAUCCAUCCAUCUCGGCGUUUGUAUAUGUUAAUGUCCACGGCCGUGCAUGAUCGCGUGUGUGUGUGUAUUUGUGUGAGGGCGUGUGCGAAGCUAAGUUAUAACCGUAUCUCUGCGUUGAUAUAAUCUUUAUUCAUUACGGCUAUAAAGUCGGGCAAAGAAAAAUACCACUGCUAGAUCGGGGCAUCUGUUUCUGUGAAUACGGUAUGUUUAACAGCUUACUUUGAUGAUACUCCCUGAGCAGAUAAUACGAAGAUAAUCCCCAAUAUAUGAUUUCAUAUUUUAGCAUAUUUCAUAAAUCUUAUUAUAGAGGAUUAGUCUAAGAUAUUGCCAUAUGGCACAGCAGUCUUAUCUCCAUCCCCUCCAAAAACAACUUAUUAAAAUAAUUGUAAAGGUUCCCUCUGUAGACUUCAUAUUUAAUGUUUGCUAAAUGCGAGAAAUGCGUUAUGCUUAUCACUGACAAAAUCAUGAGUCUUGCGCGUGCUUGUUUAUUUUGUAAACGUUUCAUGAAAUUCGAAUUUGCAUUUAGGACAGAGUACACACACACACAUAUUUAUAAUUUUGAAUUCUGUUGCUGCAGGAUAAAAUUGAGCGGAGAAAAAUGGGCAACGUCAAAAUGUGUUUUUGUCUCUCAAAAACACAGCCAAGUGUGGAAGUGUACGUGGAAAUCACUUGAAUUGUAAGUGUACCCCGGGCAUACUAUGCAAUGUUGCAGUUGCUCUCAAUGAUUAUACUGAUGACACUGAAGGCUGGUUAUUAUGUUUGACAGGAUAGCACUCUGUGGAAUAUGACUGUCUGCUCGAUCCGACACACAUUUUUAAGGAGAACAUAUUUUAAUUUUAACGCAUUUCUUCGCAGCGGUUACUUGAUCCUUUCGCGACAAACGACGAUGAGGACGACUUUUAUUAUUAUGACGUGUUCUCACCGUCAAAAAGAAAAAUAGCGGCUGAGUUAAAACACAUGUGUGUGUGUCCACACACACACACACACGCGUGUGUGUGUGUGUGUGUGGACACGCGCACGCGCGCGAGCACUCACGCGCAUUGCUACAGGGACAGGCGCCAUCUUAACGUCACAGCGCAACGUGCUUUCUGCACUUCUCAUGGAAGUGCCUCACAAAAAUAGUUGUGUAAUGAGGUCUGAAUGAUUGUGCUGAAACUUGUUUCUCUUACAUGCUGACCCUGCGACCUCCAUAGAGCACAAAUAUUUGAAACCUAAAUGAAGUUGCUGGCUGACUGGCUAUUUGCCCUCCGAUUGCCUUGCGUGAAGCGAGUGUCGGCCCCCUUUGCUAAUUUCAAACAGACAAAAGGACCUUCGCGAUCCGUGCUGACGGAUUUUUCAAUAUCGUCACCCAUUCUGGGAAAUGACGGACAAAGUGUUUUUUUGGGUUUCGGGAAAAUACCACUAAACAAGGGAAAAUACAACGCGCACACCUGGACAAUAUGGUCCCCAGACGGAUUUUUCCAUCUCUCUAUUUGAAGGUCAAUAACAAGCCUUUUUGAGAGUGGCCUACUUCUAUUGCAUGAUGUGCUAACAUCUUUCUGCCUCAAUAUCAGAAAGGAAUUUCGCACUUAUAGGCCGGGUGGGUUGAUGAUUGGUGCAGCUGCUCAGAAUUGACCUCCUGACUCCAUUUUUAAAGCAUGCAGUAACACCAUCAGCUUUCAAUUGAGAUUUGUUUAGAUUCAUAUAGUUUAAAAGAUUCCGCUGUCUUUGGAUCGUGAGCGUGUUAGGAAAGAAAAGAGCCUUGUUUGAUAAAAAAAACACCCCCAUGUUUUUUGCCCAUAGCAAAGAUCCGUAAAACAACAAUAAUCGCGUAAUAAAAAGCGCACAAUUUGAAGGGCAUAUUUUCGGGUGUCAAAUUCAACGCGAAAGCAUCGGUGGGUGAUUCAACACCAUGAAGCGGAAAUGUUAAAGCGACCCGUUAAAAAAAUAGCUGUAAUUACAAAAGCGCGCGCGUAUUCAUAAAUAAACAUUUAAUCAAACAGACGUAACUAAGGCACUCAAAAUGCAGGCAAUUACUGAGCGGCGUUUGGUACCGGUGCACCGGCGAGCGCUUCUAUUGUCCGGAGCACAUGUGUGUCUGGCGAGCGCUGUCAGUCUUCUGACACCCAUCCCAUGUCCCCUGUCGCCGGCGCCCGACAGCGAGUAAAUCCUCCCAUCACCCCAGCGGCAUCUUCCCUCGCACUCUUCACGCCGGCAGGGGCGGCGGGCGACCCCAGGAGACCCGCCAAACUCAAUAACUGACCAGCGGCGGGUAAUCGCUCCGCGGCAAGAAUAACCAAACACAGAGAGAAGGCGCGCGCAAACUUUUAAUUUUAUUUAUUUAUUUGGUUUGUUUUUGUUUUUGCUGCCCCACUUUUUUUUUGGGGGGGGGGAGGAGGGGGGGGGGGAGCGGUUCCUGCAGUCGUUUGACCGAAGCCGUUUUGGUGCACUGUGGGUAAAAAUAAUGAAAGGAAAUUCAAGUAACGGGAUAUUGUAAAUUACACCGCAGAAAUCUUACGCGGCUUUUCUGAUGAACUAACGGCACAGCGAAUCAUCGUUCUUCCUGCCGCUCGUUAUGUAAAUCGGUUCUGACACAGCGCGCCAUGCUUAAUGUCCUUUUGCCAAAAAAAAAAAGCAGUUUUUCCCCCCCUGCUCAAGCAGAGCCGAUGUUUUUGCAAUAGUGGGAGCGCAGGUCCCUGAAAGAGCAGUUAAACUACAACAUUGCCCGACUUGUAUAUUUUCUUUAGCAGUUAGCUGAAACGCAGCUCGAAGUCCUCCCCCUAGUCCAUGCGGCGAGGUACUGCGAGGCCCAAGCCUCGACAGCUGUGAGCCCACGCAGUGGCCGUGCUACGUGGCGCAAGACUUUGCAGCAGGUGCUGGAAAUUCGGCGAAUACUCGCACCACUCCUCAACCUGAUGUUGGAAUGAUGCGAGGGGGAGUCCCCGUGUCCCCAGCUCAAUUACGACCCAGGUUUGCGUAAUACGCGCAGAGGCCCUUUGCAACACCAGGUUCUCAUUAUAGAGGAAUGUGAGAUGGCUAUGAUGUCUCACUUCUCCCGAUGUCAGUUUUCAGCAGGACCUGUGAAAUGUGCAAAAGUGUCCGUUUCUUACAACAUGUAAAAAAAAAUUCUGUUUCACAAAGGGUUAUGUUCGGGACUCUGGUUGUUUUUGCAGAUCCUCAGCCUAAACAUCUUGUGUAUUUUAUUUGUAAUUUCAGACGCAAGUAACAAUAUACACGUUUAAUAAUUUUGUUGCAUGCAUUUACAUUGGGCCCACUCUUCAACUGAUGGUUAUGAAAGGUCAAACAAAAAGUGUUUUCCAAUCGGUCACAGCUGAUGAUUGUGGUCCAAAGUUCAUGCACCGAGAUUCACCACACUCUCAAUCCAGGUGAUGUUCUCAUGCUGGAUUUGUGUGAAUGUGUUGCUUAAAUUAUUCGCACAUUUGAUAGAAUCGGUGUAAAUAUCUACUGGGCUGCAUUGCUCCUACAGGAGAGCUCUUCUCCAUGGUGAUGUGAUGGGACCAAUAUUGCGGAUCACGUCGUCUGCGGGGUUAUCCGCGAUUUUACUCCGCUUAUGCAGAGGAAAAAAAACACCGUCGAUACUUGUGGACAUCAUGUGUAAGAAGAGGGCCGGGGAUAGUCUGAAGUUUUGUGGACCCCGCGGCACUCAUGGAUCGGAGGAGUUGCGGGUAAUAGGGUAACGGUUAAGAUGAUUUAUUUUACAAAUUGCCAGCCCUGAUUGAAAUAAGUAUUUUUUUUUAAAUGAAAUAUGGAAUGAUAUGUAGAAACUUCAUGCAAAACAAAGAUUACGGUCGACGGAAAAACCAACGUUUAACAAGUUAACUUUUCAUUACCUUGGGUGUUCAGUUCACAUUGCACGCUAUUUUAAAUAUUUGAAAGAGUUAAACCAAUACAGAUGUGUUUUAUGGCAAAUACAGUUACAAGAUUGUUGUACGGUGAAAUGUUAGCAUUGAUGAAGGAAAACAAACAUGCCAAAAUACUGCCAUUCAAUGUAGCUGUUAAAGAACUACGGGUGUCCAAUGCCUCUGUGUAGACGAGGUUAUGAUUUCACUAAGAGCUCGCCGGAUUUGGACGCACAAAAAAAACGCAACCUGCAUUUCCCCUAAAAGGCACCAAUGGAAUAAUUUUCCUUUAUUCAUGAGGGCAAUAACUUGAAAAACGAAUUUGAAAGCAUUUUUUCCCCAUUUCCGUAUAGGCGCGUACUACAUUUGCUCUAUCAGCUAAACAUCAAAUCCAAACCUUUCAUCAACAAAGCCGCAAUCUAUUGAGUACAUGGGAACGUAAUUGAAUCCUUUUCUUUUUCAGAAUAGGGAGAUUGGUUGCGGGCUCUGGAGAUUAGAUAUUUAGUUUACAGUGACCGCGACGUGAUUGAGUCUUAUAUUGUCACUCUGAUUACCAUAGAACGCAGCAAUCAUAAGAAUAUUCACACCGUGUGCUUAGCCUUUCAUGCCGGUCACAUGAAUUGCCCGCGCCUCCAGAGUCGUUGAAGGACUUGAGCUGUUUUUUUGGCAAAAUAACUUAACUCGGUAUCUAAUGUAGUUGUUACUCUCUCCCAUCACGGCAUAAUAUGCUAUGGGAUGCAUUGUCUAUAAUACAUUUCUCUCUCGCUCUCUGUGAGCACUGUUUUACGCUUGGUAGAAAACAACUACAAAAUAUACACAAAGGCAUUCAAUUUGUCGCUGCACUUUUUACAGUGAGUCGACGUUGACCUUUUUCAAGCAGUCAAAACAUGAAUAUACCUCAAAACCAGCUCUAAAUAAAUUAGAUUAUUUCGCAGCCUUUUUUUGUCAGUCCACUGCUGGAUGAAGGCCUCAUUAUCCCUUGUCAUUCGUCGGGGGGUUUUGGCCAAACUUCACCGUACUGAUCAGUGUGGGCUGGUUUCGGGAUUGCCGUGUCCAAGAUCGGUUUCAGUUUUCACUCUCCAAUGAUGUUAGCAUUGUCCAGGAAUUGAACCCAGGUGGCAGUUGUUAGUGCCACUGUGCUACAUGGCUCACAGGGCUAUACCUAAUAAAUGAAAACUGAAACACCACUGCACAAGCACUCUACCCUUUUAACAUAUGUUACAUAUAUAAAUGUUUUUUUUAAAAUAUAUUGUUAUGAAACUUAAGUCAUAGAAGAUAUCUCAAUAGAUUAAAUUAUUUUACUUUCAUGAUAUAACAGUUCUAAAGUUCAUCAACCUAAAAGUCUAAUCUUAAAGUCAUUCAUAGCCCUUUGGCCAGUUCACUGCUAGAUUAAGUUCACUGCCCUAUCGGGCAUGGGGUUGUGUCCAUACUCCACUAUUCUGGUUAGUGUAGCUUGGUAGAAAAGAUGCUCGGGACCGGUUCAGGUAUCGCAUUGACUGAUAGUAUCCCUGGCCGGGAAUCGAACUCAAGCGACAAGGGACAACCACUGUGUCACACCUCCACCCUUUAAAAUACAUUUAUAUUAAAUUCAAGUUCAUGUUUUUGUUCUUUAAGUUAUACAAUUACGUGUUUUUUCAGGUAUAGUUGUUCAAACCUUCAUCAACCUCAAAACCUACUCCUCUAAAUGAACCACAAAUGUUAUUAUCGCACGUACAAUUGCGUGACAAAUAUAGUAACCGAGGGCUUUGACACUAAAAUAAAAGAUCACCAAUUUACAUAAAACCACGAACGGAACACGUCCGAAAAGUAAUGUCACGUCUCUUAGAAAUAACCUGACAAGUUGUUCACACAGCUCCACACACACAUAUAUAAUAUUGUAAUAAAAUUGCAAGACUCCAAAAAGGGCAAGGGUUGGCAAGGGAUGCAGCAGCCACUGCCCGCCGCCGCCGUUGUUUUAAUCGAGCUGACUCUGUCCAUGUGAAUGUCAGUGCCAUGGUAACCCACCGCUCAAGAAAGCAUUUCUAAAUUGAAUUUGUUGCAGUGUAAUGUGCUAAAAAAAAAGCGCUUCAGAUCAAUCGUGAUUCAUGCAGUAGUGCUUUUCACUGGCCUGUGAGAGGAGGAGCUGGCAAACUUUCCCACAGACCGAGGCGGCAGGGCACACAUGAGUUAUGAGGGAUGGUUGAAUGGAGUUGAGCUGCUUAUAAGGCCUGAACGGAGCUAAAGAGAUAUAAUGCCAAUAUCAAUGUGUGCGCGCGUUUGUUUGUCAGAGCAUUCAUAUUCACUUUUGCAUGGAUGCUGUUGUGCACGGUCCGUGACUGUAUGAUAUUAUUGCCCCAGGGAGUAGGGGGGGGGGUGUCCCUUUGUCUCCGGAGAAUCAGCGGGGUUGACGGAGUGUUUGUUUUUGACGGGAGAGAGUCUCGGAGCCAUUGUGGUUUUGUAUUUUCUGAAAUGUGUGCAUGGUUGCAUUUUACAAAACUUUUAACAACAUUGCAUUCAAUAGUCAUGCACUUUAUACAUGCGCGUAUUAUAAUAUUGUUCGAAAGGGAGUUGGGAAGUGGUGUGACGUUGCAUACAAACCUUUUUGUGAUGAGCAAUGGAAAUGUUCAGAUAUCAAAGUUACAUUCUUAUGAAUUGACUUAUAUAAACUUAUAUAAACUUAAUAAACAUAGAUGUUUACUCGUUA